GGGCUGUAAUGGCUUGAGUUUCCAUUGCAAAGGGUGGGCCAUGAAUCUCAAUCAGCGAAUAUUAUCAAUGUUUCUGUAUGGAUCAUGACUGCUUACAUGUGACAGGUGUUGCUCAAUGAUCCCACAGUGACAGCUCUGCAGUUCCCUUCAGCUCAAAGGAGCUAUUGGUGGACACAAAUCAACUAUAAAUGAAUGGCCACGUUGCUCCGUGUCUGCUGCAUGAUGUAAAAGGUGACUGUUUGCUAUGAGGUUUGCCAUAUCAGCUUCAGAGGUUUCUGCUGAAGUGACUAAUAAGCCAGUUUUAAGAGCAGAAGCACAAACAUAUUCACUAAGUGGUUUCAGUAUUAGCUAUGUUGAAUUCAUGCCACUGUAGUGCAGUAUGAUGGGGAAGCGGACAUAUGGGCUACGUGGACAUCUCUGUGUGGGAGAAGAGCAAUCACAGCUAAAGCUAAAUGCCUUGGUUAUGUCCCAUGAGCCAGGGAAGCGAUAUCUGCAUGCUGAGAGGCUCUGAUCACUCACCUGCACACUAUACACAGCACAGAAUUACUACUAUAACAGGAAUGUUUCACAGCAUCAAAAUAAAAUUCAAAGCCACAGAGACACAGAUGACAGAUGAUGAUGUGGAGGUCUCACAAGUCCCACUUACUCUUUAACAACCAGCUGUCUACUUUCGGUACUAAUUCCACCAGUCCUCAUUAGAUGCCGCACUGCAGAUGACCUUGCAGCCAAGUGGUCUCAUUUCCUUCAGAAUGUUGCCCCAGAAGUGGAGAUGACGGUUAAAUUGGCUAAAUAUUGAACUUAAAAAAUAUUUUAA
This is a long non-coding RNA of Seriola aureovittata, 814 nucleotides long. RefSeq lists it as uncharacterized. The transcript has 4 exons. The record is from RefSeq and is a predicted model, not a curated record. Lineage: Eukaryota; Metazoa; Chordata; Actinopteri; Carangiformes; Carangidae.